GAUUGGUUGGAACAGAAGCCUACACUCACACCGGCCCUUUCUGUGUGCGAUUGAGUAUCCCUGCCCUGUGUGCAGGUGAUUUUAUGAGGUAAAGCAGCUCUUGGGAGUUUGCGUUCAGUGCUGAAGGUUCAGCUGUAGAGUAACACCAGCAGCAGGGCAGUGGUACCUGCCGUAGCCUGCACCUGCACUGCGGGCCACAUGACAUAAAAAGAAUCAGAAUGGCUAACAGCAGAUACCUGAUCAGUGUUCAUACUCUUGGUCCCUGAGAUUCCAUGUCUUUGUGGGAGGGAUGAAGAAGCCGAGCCACCCUCGAUGGGCCAGAGUAUAAACUGGAGCCUUCUCACCGUGUCAGGACGGCAUAUUCUUCAGUGACUAUAGUCGAGCUGAAGAAAUAUAAAGAACUAAGGCUGGAAGCUUUGUUACCAUAGAGACUGCCAGCAUCUCACGGUUGCCAAGGAGCUGAACCUUCUGUUCCACCAAUGAGCCGUGGGUAUGGCCCAAAGCAAGUCCUUCCAAGAUCUGUGAAUAAAGGCACUUAAGAUCAGGCUACAGUGACUG
Molecule: long non-coding RNA, 558 nt
Organism: Conger conger (European conger)
Lineage: Eukaryota; Metazoa; Chordata; Actinopteri; Anguilliformes; Congridae
Exons: 3
Source: RefSeq, a predicted model, not a curated record